This 1162-nucleotide long non-coding RNA is filed under the name Homo sapiens (human). RNAcentral describes it as "HSALNT0396155". The record is from RNAcentral. Lineage: Eukaryota; Metazoa; Chordata; Mammalia; Primates; Hominidae.
AGCCUCUCGAGCAGCUGGGAUUAUAGGUGUCCGCUACCAUGCCCGGCUAAUUUUUGUAUUUUUUAUGGAGAUGGGGUUUCACCGUGUUGGCCAGGAUGGUCUCGAUCUCCUGACCUCGUGAUCUGCCCGCCUCGGCCUCCCAAAGUGCUGGGAUUACAGGCGUGAGACACCACACCCGGCCUUUUUUUUUUUUUUUUUUUUUUGAGAUAGAGUCUCGCUCUGUCACCCAGACUGGAGUGCAGUGGCGCGAUCUCAGCUCACUGCAAGUUCUGCCUCCCGGGUUCAAGGGAUUCUCCUGCCUCAGCCUCCUGAGUAGCUGGGAUUAUAGGCACCUGCCACCACACCUGGCUAAUUUUUGGAUUUUUACUAGACAGGGUUUCGCCAUGUUGGCCAGGCUGGUCUCGAACUCCUGACCUCGUGAUCUGCCCGCCUCAGCCUCCCAAAGUGCUGGGAUUACAGGCGAGAGCCACUGCGCCCAGGCUUUUGUUGUUGUUGUUGUUUUGGUAGAGACAGGCUUUCACCAUGUUGCCCACGCUGGUCUUGAACUCAUGAACUCAAGCGAUCCACCCGGCUUGGCCUCCCAAAGUGUUGGGAUUACAGGCGUGGGCCACCGCCUUGCCUGGCCUCAAUUAUGUUUAUGAAUGUUGUGAAGUAGAAAUUAAUAUUACCCCUUCAAAUAAACAGGAAGGUGUUAGCAUACCACACGGGUCCAAAGUGAGUAUGGUUCAGAUUGGGAACAAAGCUGUGUGGCAGUAGCUGACCUAAGCCUGGGAUCAAAUCUAAAGGUUGCCUGAGAGAAACAGGGACUGCGUAGGAACAGGUCUUCCAUGAACACAGGAAAAUGAACAAACUUAGUGCUGCAGACAAGGAGGAAUGUGGCCCAGCGCUGCUUGGUAAGUUCAUGGUCCAAGGGAGUCUUUGCACUUCUGUGGCUUUUUUUUUUUUUUUUUUGAGACGGAGUCUCACCCCUGUCGCCCAGGCUGGAGUGCAGUGGCAGGAUCUUGGCUCACUGCAAGCUCUGCCUCCUGGGUUCACGCCAUUCUCCUGCCUCAGCCUCUCUAGUAGCUGGGACUACAUGCACCUGCCACCACGCCCGGCUAAUUUUUUGUAUUCUUUUAGUAGAGACGGGUUUCACCAUGUUAGCCAGGAUGGUCUCGAUCUC